This 133-nucleotide ribosomal RNA is filed under the name uncultured bacterium. RNAcentral's name for it is "partial 16S ribosomal RNA". It matches the Rfam family "Bacterial small subunit ribosomal RNA", at positions 356 to 503 of the family's 1533-position model. The record is from RNAcentral.
GGGGAAUUUUCCGCAAUGGGCGAAAGCCUGACGGAGCAAUCUCGCGUGAGGGAUGACUGCCUAUGGGUUGUAAACCUCUUUUUUCAGGGAGGAAUCAAUGACGUGUACCUGAAGAAUAAGCAUCGGCUAACUC